ACAGGGGUCUUCCGGCGAGCGUACUGAUCAUAAAGCUCGUGACAAGGAUUGCUCAUCGAAGAGUGGAAGCCACCAUUACAAAACCCCUCCCCACCACUCAGUACCCAAUUACGAAAAGUCUCCACCUACAUAUCACAGUGAGCAUCACAACACUCCUUCCCCUCAUGAAUCUUCUUCCUCCCAUCCUCCUCCUCGUCCCCAUUACGAUGCACCUCCCUAUGUCCCCUACGUCCAUCAUGCACCUCUACCACCACAUGACGGCUACAAAUCUCCUCCUCCACCUGAUCAUGACAAUUACGAAGCACCUCCAAAGCAAUAUGAUCCUCCUCCAUAUUACCAGAGAGGCAAUGUUGACACCACUGCAAAAGCAGCAUCAGCGCAGCCGAAGGAGAGUUCGCCAUGAAAGGGGUUUCAAGAUUCGUAAGCCUCG
This 430-nucleotide long non-coding RNA is filed under the name Physcomitrium patens. Its description in RNAcentral is "long non-coding RNA (PPAT_LNC003495)". The record is from RNAcentral. Lineage: Eukaryota; Viridiplantae; Streptophyta; Bryopsida; Funariales; Funariaceae.